RNAcentral lists this ribosomal RNA (255 nucleotides) under uncultured bacterium. RNAcentral describes it as "partial 16S ribosomal RNA". It matches the Rfam family "Bacterial small subunit ribosomal RNA", at positions 524 to 776 of the family's 1533-position model. The record is from RNAcentral.
UACGAAGGGGGGCUAGCGUUGUUCGGAAUUACUGGGCGUAAAGCGCACGUAGGCGGAUUGUUAAGUUAGGGGUGAAAUCCCAGGGCUCAACCCUGGAACUGCCUUUAAUACUGGCAAUCUCGAGUCCGAGAGAGGUGAGUGGAAUUCCGAGUGUAGAGGUGAAAAUUCGUAGAUAUUCGGAGGAACACCAGUGGCGAAGGCGGCUCACUGGCUCGGUACUGACGCUGAGGUGCGAAAGCGUGGGGAGCAAACAGG